GGAUGUGUAGCUCCAAUGGUAGAGCAGCGGUUUGAAGCACCGUGGCUGCAGGUUCGAGCCCUGCCACAUCCG
RNAcentral lists this transfer RNA (72 nucleotides) under Chitinophaga agrisoli. Its description in RNAcentral is "Chitinophaga sp. BN140078 tRNA-Phe". It matches the Rfam family "tRNA". Rfam says of the family: Transfer RNA (tRNA) molecules are approximately 80 nucleotides in length. The record is from RNAcentral. Lineage: Bacteria; Pseudomonadati; Bacteroidota; Chitinophagia; Chitinophagales; Chitinophagaceae.